GGGCUUCGGCUUUCUCCAAGUCUGUUGAGGCAGAGUUCAACUUCUGGGUGAAUUCGGCAAGACCCUUCUGUACUUGGCUAGCAUCGAUUUGAUCUACAGGCACAGCUUCGACAGCGAUUAUGUCGGCGUAUGAGUUGCCAUGGAUGAAUGCAAAACCACUGCUGACAAAGUAUUUUUUGAUGUCGCUCCCAUCGUGUACUGAUAGAACCCCUGGCUUUAACUCGGCGAUUGUAGCUACAUGACCAGGAAGAACACCCAUUUGCCCAGUUGUUGCUGGAAUUAUGACCAUGUCAACCUCUUUGGCCGAGAGUUCGGAGGCAUAAGGAAGGACGAAGUUGACAGUGAGCUUAGAAGGGAUGGAAGAAGGCGUAGCAGGACGAGGAGCCAUGAAAGAGAGAGGAGUUUUAGGCGGGUCAAUAUUGGGGAUCACCUUCUUCCAGGCGGAGACAAAGGCAUCGUCGGUGGAAGCAGCUGCGGGCAGAUCGGUGGAGAAGGAUCUGGUCCUUGCAGAGAGAAAAGAGCGGGCCAAAAGGCUGGAAGCUCGUCGGAACAUGGCGGAGAGAGAAGGGGGUCGCUCGGCUCUCGCAAGGUCGGAGAGAGAUGAAGAAGGAGAAGGAGAAGUGGAAGGGU
RNAcentral lists this unclassified non-coding RNA (630 nucleotides) under Hevea brasiliensis (rubber tree). The record is from RNAcentral. Lineage: Eukaryota; Viridiplantae; Streptophyta; Magnoliopsida; Malpighiales; Euphorbiaceae.